Monosiga brevicollis MX1 is the source of this 45-nucleotide non-coding RNA. The record is from Rfam. Lineage: Eukaryota; Choanoflagellata; Craspedida; Salpingoecidae.
AAACCGGUGUUUCUAAACACCACUAUCUGCUCUAUCAUCUUGAAU